Molecule: ribosomal RNA, 492 nt
Filed under: uncultured bacterium
Lineage: Bacteria
Description: partial 16S ribosomal RNA
Rfam family: Bacterial small subunit ribosomal RNA
Source: RNAcentral
GGGGGGGGGGGGGGGGGGGGGGAGGAGGGGGGGGGCGAGCGGGGGCGCAGGAAGGGCUUGCGCUUACGGGUGGCGAGUGGCGGACGGGUGAGGAAGACAUCGGAAUCUACUUUUUCGGGGGGGAUAACGUAGGGAAACUUACGCUAAUACCGCAUACGACCUACGGGGGAAAGCAGGGGAUCUUCGGACCUUGCGCGAUUGAAUGAGCCGAUGUCGGGUUAGCUAGUUGGCGGGGUAAAGGCCCACCAAGGCGACGAUCCGUAGCUGGUCUGAGAGGAUGAUCAGCCACACUGGAACUGAGACACGGUCCAGACUCCUACGGGAGGCAGCAGUGGGGAAUAUUGGACAAUGGGCGCAAGCCUGAUCCAGCCAUACCGCGUGGGUGAAGAAGGCCUUCGGGUUGUAAAGCCCUUUUGUUGGGAAAGAAAAGCAGCAGGUUAAUACCCCGCUGUUCUGACGGUACCCAAAGAAUAAGCACCGGCUAACUUCGUG